CCCCAUGAAGCCAUUUCAAUAGCUACUAAGGCAGUUUCGUCAGUACUGUUCCUAAUCUCUAACGGUUCCAUUUCACAAAUUUUGCGUCUUAACGUUCAUCAAUAACAUCAGUUCAACACGGGACUUAAAAAACAGUUCUACAUGGCAAAAAACAGCUUGGAACAAGUCUUCUAUUUACCACCAGAGGCACAUGAUGGUACAUACAACCUUACUGAAGCUAAAGAAUGUCAGAGGAAUCGAAUGGAGUGCAAUCGCUUUGAAUAACACAGUCAUGGCAAGUCUAGUCACCAAACAAAGACAACUAAUUGAAAUAUUUUUAAUACGAAACCACAAGGAAAGAGAGUCAACCGCGCGUGGCGUCGACGGUACUUUCAUUGGGCUGAUACGACAAUUCGGGGCUACAUCAAAAUGCUGCGAAAAUUUUCUCGCGGCUUCGACUUUUCAACGUUUUAAUUCAAAGUUUAAUUUCAGUUCUUUAAGGAACUAUAAAUCGUUGGAAGGUUCAAACUAAAAUUUCGCUCCAAGCCCUGAAAGGCGCGGCUACUCAGGCAAACAACGCCUUAGACGAUGUGCCUCAAAAUCAAAAAUGGCUACCAAAUUCAGUGAUACUCAAAGUCCCAGAGUUGUAGCAGGCCAGCCAGAUGGACAAAGGAACCUCC
Molecule: long non-coding RNA, 659 nt
Organism: Pocillopora damicornis (cauliflower coral)
Lineage: Eukaryota; Metazoa; Cnidaria; Anthozoa; Scleractinia; Pocilloporidae
Source: RefSeq, a predicted model, not a curated record